RNAcentral lists this ribosomal RNA (2980 nucleotides) under Drosophila novamexicana. RNAcentral's name for it is "eukaryotic LSU rRNA". The stretch from base 1785 to 2980 matches the Rfam family "Eukaryotic large subunit ribosomal RNA", at positions 1891 to 3280 of the family's 3401-position model. Lineage: Eukaryota; Metazoa; Arthropoda; Insecta; Diptera; Drosophilidae. The record is from RNAcentral.
UCAAUGCUGCUCAAGGGCAGAUUGGCAGCUAGUCGGCCACCCAUUGUCAGACUGAAUGGAGUGAAUGUGAGGUAUGCGUCUGAGGUGAAAUACCUCGGCAUAACCUUCGGCGAGAGGAUGUGUUUCACUCCUCAUAUCGCUGGUCUCAAGGCCCGGCUACUUGGUUUGGUGGGGCAAGUGCGUCGUAUUUUGAGGUCUGACUGGGGCCUAAGCAGACGUGCUGUCCGCACCAUCUAUGAGGGUCUGUUUGCUGCAUGUGCAGCAUAUGGAUCGUCUGUAUGGUGCAAGGCGGUCACGACUGUGGUUGGCAGAAAGAAAGUGCUGGCUUGCCAGAGAGUGCUUCUGUUAGGUUGUUUGCCUGUGUGCCGCACUGUCUCUACGGAGGCAAUGCAGGUACUGUUAGGAGUAGCCCCUCUUGACUUGGAGAUCAGGCGUCGAGCCUUGAUGUACAGGAUCAAGAGGCGGCUGCCAUUGCUGCAGAAUGAUUGGCUAGCAGAUAGGGAUGUGGAGAGUUUAGGGCUUAGUGAAUGCAAGAGAUUGGUGAAAGAGUGUGUUCUGUCUGACUGGCAAGUCAGAUGGGACACAAGCGUGAAUGGGCGUGUCACUCAUCGGUUUAUACGGGAGGUUACAUUUGCCGGCAGCCGACCAGACUUUGGGUUCGGCCUGAGUCUUGGAUUCCUGUUGACUGGUCACGGUUCCCUCAAUGCAUUCUUGUAUUCGAGGAGCCUUUAUGACAGUCCAGAAUGCCGUUGUGGCUCGGCUGCUGAGACAUGGGAGCAUAUUCUCUGUGAGUACACAAGGUAUGCAGAUCUUCGAGAUCUGAGGGGGAUGGGUAUAAGUGAGGUUAGUGGCGGGUUUGACGUAAGUCAAUCACUCUCCACUAGUGAUAGGAUUAGAAGAAUGAGUGAGUUUGCGAGAGCUGCAUUUUCCAGGCGACGUUUGCAAUUGCAGGAAGGAAUUGUAUGAAUGAAGAUGGAUGGUAGAUGUACGAAUGUGGGGGUACGAACGUGGGGGUGUGUCUGAAUGGGCAUUUUGUUGAACAUUGUGUUGUCCGGGGCUACCAGUUCCCAGCAUCAUGGAGCUAAAACUGAAAGUGUCCUUUCAGGAUACGAGUUCUGACCAGAGGAUUGAUCUGGGACCACGGGCGUUAGGGAACACAGAGGCGGUCUCGGCUCUGCUCUCUCCGCCAUAGUCUUUUGGGACUUGUUGGGGACACUAGCUGGCCGCCUAGCGGUUUAAUCUAUGAUCAACUUGAAAAUGCCGUCGCUUGCGGAAGAGGCAGGAAUAAGCCUCCCUCCCCACAGUGAGAAAGCCAUGCCAUGAACAUGUAUACAUAUAUAUUGUUCCACCUGUCAAUUGCUGCUUUACAUCAAUUGCGUUCUAUUCCCUGCAGCAGUGUUUUAUCGUUUCUGGGGCCACCAACCCUUAACUGUUUUGGAGUUUAAAUUGGAAGUACCCUUCUGGUACGAGGCCUGACCAGAGGUCUUUAAUCUGGUACCACGGGUAACCAGGAGCCCACGGAACUUGUUCCGUCCUGGUUAGUUGGUGCGGCCCUUCGGGGAGUAUCGUGGUGGUUGUGGUUUAACACCUAAAUGCGGGUAGAGCUUUGCUCGACGUGGAGUUGCGUCAUACAACCGGGUUCCGUAAUCCAGAUUUCGGAAGAGGCUUAGAUAGUCCUCGUGCCAAACCAAGGUAGAAGUCACAACCAAACAGUCGUGUCUUUAAUUGGUACCUGCGGAAUUGUUCCAAGGAGGCGGUGAUUGACGCUUGAAUUAAUCCUAUACUAGGAACCGUGAGAUUAAGCCAUCGUGGCAGGUGCUCACAUUAAGCCCACUGACUUUCAUGUCCCUAUCUACUAUCUAGCGAAACCACAGCCAAGGGAACGGGCUUGGAACAAUUAGCGGGGAAAGAAGACCCUUUUGAGCUUGACUCUAAUCUGGCAGUGUAAGGAGACAUAAGAGGUGUAGAAUAAGUGGGAGAUAUUAGACUUCGGUUUGGUAUCGACAAUGAAAUACCACUACUCUUAUUGUUUCCUUACUUACUUGAUUAAAUGGAACGUGUAUAAUUUCCUAGCCAUUAUACGGAUAUAAUUAUUAUGUCUUAUGGUAUUGGGUUUUGAUGCAAGCUUCUUGAUCAAAGUAUCACGAGUUUGUUAUAUAAUCGCAAACAAAUUCUUUAAUGAGAGAAUGCAUUUAUGUAUUAUUGAUUUAAAAAUUUGGUAUAACUCCAAUUACUCAGGUAUGAUUCAAUUCAAGGACAUUGCCAGGUAGGGAGUUCGACUGGGGCGGUACAUCUCUCAAAUAAUAACGGAGGUGUCCCAAGGCCAGCUCAGUGCGGACAGAAACCACACAUAGAGCAAAAGGGCAAAUGCUGACUUGAUCUCGGUGUUCAGUACACACAGGGACAGCAAAAGCUCGGCAUAUCGAUCCUUUUGGUUUAAAUAGUUUUUAACAAGAGGUGUCAGUAAAGUUACCAUAGGGAUAACUGGCUUGUGGCGGCCAAGCGUUCAUAGCGACGUCGCUUUUUGAUCCUUCGAUGUCGGCUCUUCCUAUCAUUGUGAAGCAAAAUUCACCAAGCGUUGGAUUGUUCACCCAUGCAAGGGAACGUGAGCUGGGUUUAGACCGUCGUGAGACAGGUUAGUUUUACCCUACUAAUGACAAAACGUUGUUGCGACAGCAUUCCUGCGUAGUACGAGAGCAACCGCAGGUACGGACCAAUGGCACAAUACUUGUUCGAGCGAACAGUGGUAUGACGCUACGUCCGUUGGAUUAUGUCUGAACGCCUCUAAGGGCGUAUCCGUGCUGGACCGCAAUGAUAAAUAAGGGGCAAUUUUGCAUUGUAUGGCUUCUAAACCAUUAAAAGUUUUUAAUUUAUUUUAUUAACGACAAUGGAUGUGAUGCCAAUGUUAUUUAUAACAUAGUAAAUUGGGAGGAUCUUCGAUCACCUGAGCCCGCGCUAGUUAUAUCUUAAAACAUUAUUU